RNAcentral lists this transfer RNA (71 nucleotides) under Marmota monax (woodchuck). RNAcentral describes it as "tRNA.Ala". It matches the Rfam family "tRNA". Rfam says of the family: Transfer RNA (tRNA) molecules are approximately 80 nucleotides in length. The record is from RNAcentral. Lineage: Eukaryota; Metazoa; Chordata; Mammalia; Rodentia; Sciuridae.
GGGGUUGUGGUUCAGUGAUAGAACGCUUGCCUAGCACACAAGAGGCGCUGGGUUUGAUCCCCAGCACCACA